GCUUAAACCAUAAACUUAUUUUAUUGACAUUGAAGUUGAUCUGUCUCAGCAUUGCAAAGUGAAAUUGUAUCAUCUUCAAGUAGCAAAUGAGACACCUUUAGACUAUCUUAAUUCUCCCUCUUAGUUGUGAACUGGAAACUGGAAACUGGAACCCUUCAAUACGAACAACAUAGGUGAGCGGAUCCCUGUGCACAAACCUCUCGUGUCCCGAGAAACUUGUGUGGUUCCUGUUGACUAUCAUUGAUAGUUUUCUAAUGCAGUUUCUUAAUAUUAUUGUUAAUCGGGGUGAUUUUCCACGUGCACCGACCAUGUGGCCUUUUUUGUCCAGGUGGCGUGCUUGGUGUCAUUUUGUUAGAGAGAGGGAUAUUUUUGAGCUAAAAAUUUAACGGAGGAGUAUUUUCGAGCCAAAAAACAAACGGAAGGUAUUUUUGCUCCAUUUCGAAUAGUUCAGACGUAUUUUUGAUCCUUUUUCAUUUUUUAAGUAAUAUUUUAUAAAAAAUAUGUUUGUACCAAACACACCCAAAAAGAGAAUAGGUAUUAUUAUUAAGAAAUAAUAAAUGCUCUGAUAGAAAACAAGAAUGUAAUUUCAAAGUUGCACAAAUUUUACUAAAAUUAAAAUAACAAAUAAUGCAUUCCAUCCAUUUCAUUUUGUUUUACAUUUGCUGAUUUGGUAAUGCUAUUAAAAACCUAUUUACUAGAAGUUUGUUUAUUUAUCUCGAUAAUUAUAUUUUGAAAAUAUAUGAAUGACAAUUAUUGGGUAUGUGAAGGCAAUGGAAUCCCCAAGAUCCUCACUUAUAUUAAGUUGUUAUGUAGUUACCUAUUGAUAACAAUAAUAUCGGAAUAAAAUAAUAAAUCUCUCUUGAUUUUGCAAAAAUAAUAUGUAGAAAAAGAAUUUUAUUUUUAGUACAAGAGUCAAGCAAAAUGAAAAAGAGAGAGAAAUUCCUUUUUACCUAUUUCUUUGACUUAACAAAUAACUUAAGAAUCAAAUAUAAAGGGCAACCUGGUGCACUAAAGCUACCUCUAUGCGUGGUGUCCGGGGCAGGGCCCCACCACAAGGGUGUAUCGUACGUAGCCUUACCUUGCACUUCUGCUAGAGGCUGUUUCCAAGGCUUGAACGGUUGAUCUCCUGGUCACAUGGAAACAACUUUACCAGUUACUCCAAAGCUCCCUUUCAACUUAAGAAUCAAAUAUAUUAAGAGUAAAACAUAUGAAAUUAAUUAUGUUUUAAAAUUUAAAAUUUUCUAUUAAUAGUUUAUAUAAUUACUUGAUGAUGGUGAUGGUGAUGGUGAUGGUGAUGGUGAUGAUGAUGAUGAUAAGAGAAAAUACAUAAUUACACCACUGAUGCUGUCCGAGAUUUUCGAAAAGACACUUAAACUUUCAAUACCACCUAUUACUCCACGAUUCUUAUUUAAUCCCUUAUAAAUACAUCAUUUUGACUUAUUUUUUGUCUCUGUGUGUAGUCACACAUGCCAGACGUGUGAACAAUUAAAUGUGAUUCAGUUACCCAAUUAAACUCUGCCACGUGUCAAUUAAAUGUCCAAAAAAUAGAAUUCUUUUCUUCUCCUCUUUAAAACCACGAACCUCCUUCCAGUUGCCAUUAACGGCUAUUUGAAGAAAAUUUUUGCCUCUUUUUCUAAUCUUUUCUCAACAAAAUCAACCUUAAAAGGUAAGAUGUUUCCAUUAUGUUGUAAUUUCUAAAGAAAUUCAGUCCUAAAAGCUUUAAUUUCGUCUUAAUUUUUUUAAUUUUUUUGAAAUCAUGUUAAAUUUUGUAUCUAGGUAUUUGCCGAAAAUAGUUUUACAAUGUCAAAUGCAAUCUUGAAUCGAAUUUGUAAUGACGAGAUCGAUCCCAUGUUGCGUGUAAAAAUACGAUGCAAACAUGGAGACUUACUGUCAAUGCAAACAUCAUGGUCGGAGGACAACCCAGCUAGAAGAUUUUGGUCUUGUCCAUGCUAUCGUGUAUGUCCUAUACAUGUUUUCUUAUUUUUCCUCUUGUUUCUGUUCAAUUGAUUUUUUUAUGCUUCUUUUAGGAGAAAUCAUGCAACUUCUUUAGAUGGAGGGACCCGAACGAGAC
Molecule: long non-coding RNA, 2071 nt
Filed under: Capsicum annuum
Lineage: Eukaryota; Viridiplantae; Streptophyta; Magnoliopsida; Solanales; Solanaceae
Description: long non-coding RNA (CANN_LNC006823)
Source: RNAcentral